GACGAACGCUGGCGGCGUGCUUAACACAUGCAAGUCGAACGGAAAGGCCCUGCUUUUGUGGGGUGCUCGAGUGGCGAACGGGUGAGUAACACGUGAGUAACCUGCCCUUGACUUUGGGAUAACUUCAGGAAACUGGGGCUAAUACCGGAUAGGAGCUCCUGCUGCAUGGUGGGGGUUGGAAAGUUUCGGCGGUUGGGGAUGGACUCGCGGCUUAUCAGCUUGUUGGUGGGGUAGUGGCUUACCAAGGCUUUGACGGGUAGCCGGCCUGAGAGGGUGACCGGCCACAUUGGGACUGAGAUACGGCCCAGACUCCUACGGUAGGCAGCAGUGGGGAAUAUUGCACAAUGGGCGGUAGCCUGAUGCAGCAACGCCGCGUGCGGGAUGACGGCCUUCGGGUUGUAAACCGCUUUCGCCUGUGACGAAGCGUGAGUGACGGUAAUGGGUAAAGAAGCACCGGCUAACUACGUG
This 468-nucleotide ribosomal RNA is filed under the name uncultured bacterium. Its description in RNAcentral is "partial 16S ribosomal RNA". It matches the Rfam family "Bacterial small subunit ribosomal RNA", at positions 28 to 507 of the family's 1533-position model. The record is from RNAcentral.